UUCUCACAUACACACCUAUCAAA
Molecule: small nuclear RNA, 23 nt
Filed under: Arabidopsis thaliana (thale cress)
Lineage: Eukaryota; Viridiplantae; Streptophyta; Magnoliopsida; Brassicales; Brassicaceae
Description: snRNA_10985
Source: RNAcentral